This is a long non-coding RNA of Prionailurus viverrinus (fishing cat), 909 nucleotides long. RefSeq lists it as uncharacterized. The transcript has 4 exons. The record is from RefSeq and is a predicted model, not a curated record. Lineage: Eukaryota; Metazoa; Chordata; Mammalia; Carnivora; Felidae.
AAGAGGAGAGAAGGAAAAGAAAAGAAAAGGAAGGUGUCUUCUAGGAGGAAGAGGAAUAUUUUCACCUUUUUAUUCUUCUUGAUGAAAACUCUUUCUACCACCUACCGUAUACUUGCGACGUCUCCUUUAUGCGGAAUGAAGAGUGAAUAACCUUGGAAAACAGAGAUAGUAGCAGAGGAUGGAGAAGGAGCAGAGGGUUCUUAUAAGGAUUAAAUAAGUUCACAUUUGCGAACUGCUUGGACCAGUGCCUGUAAUAUGAACGCUUUGUGGUACGUCCAAAGGAAGUACGUGCGGGUGCCCCAGCCUUCCCCACAGAACAAUGGACUGACUACUUCAAGUGAGUUGCUACACGCUCAGCACAGACUCAGACAACACAAGAAAAUAUAUAUCAAGGUUUUUUAUCAUGGAGAAGUUCAGCGUUUGGGGAAAAGCAAGAUUUACGUACAAGAAGCGAGUGGAAGACAAUACAAGGCGAAUGCCUGAUGCAGCAAUGAAGUUGUCCCUUCUCAAUCUCAGGAAACCCCUUAACCUCACAAAACCUUAGCGUUUGCUUUUCUCAUUACAGAGCCCUAAAGCAAACAGGAACUGAGGCAAAGAGAUUUAAAUUAGAAGAGCAACUUAGUAAUAAUAAUGCUUGUAGUACAGAGCUUUUCAUGUAUGUUGUCUCAAGGUACUGUAAGACCUUGAAAAACAAUGCUUAAAGGAAGUGGGCAGGGGUUCCACUAUUUUUUUCUGACCUAACUGAUAUUUGGGGAGGCCCAGUGCUAGGGACAGAACUGUGAGGUGGACAGAUUUAUGUGACACUCUUCCUUCCUCAACUAGAUAGAGCACCUCCUCCUCCUGCAUUUCCCUCUCUUCCUUCCUGCUGCAGUUAGUGGAAUCUUAAUUUUCACCCCCACCCCUACCCCC